Molecule: small nucleolar RNA, 131 nt
Filed under: Tursiops truncatus (common bottlenose dolphin)
Lineage: Eukaryota; Metazoa; Chordata; Mammalia; Artiodactyla; Delphinidae
Description: Small nucleolar RNA SNORA42/SNORA80 family (ENSTTRG00000024812.1)
Source: RNAcentral
GCAUGGCUCUGGAUUGAGGUCAGCCUGGCCACCCCCUGGGCUUCUAGGGUGCUCUAGGGCAGACUGCAUCCCUAAACCAUUGCACGGCUUCCCUGUCUGCAGGUCCAGGCACAGACUCGAGUCGUGCAGUG